GUGGGACCUGGCACUGCACAUCAAUUCCACUCUUCUUGUACUCCACAUACAAGCACCUCGAGAAUUGGUCAAUGUACGCUUUGGUGGCAGCAUAGACAGUAUACAGGGGAUCUGAGGGAAUAACAAUGGCAGCACCAGAACCAAUAUUAACAAUAGCGCCUCUCUUCCUCUUCAACAUUCCAGGCAAAACAGCAUGAGUCACCUUGGUAGUGCCUUCAACAUUGACCUUGAUUAAGUUAUUCAGAAGCUCCUCAUCCACUUCGUGAAAAAACCUUCCAUAC
Molecule: unclassified non-coding RNA, 281 nt
Filed under: Hevea brasiliensis (rubber tree)
Lineage: Eukaryota; Viridiplantae; Streptophyta; Magnoliopsida; Malpighiales; Euphorbiaceae
Source: RNAcentral